GACAAUUUGGCCGAGUGGUUAAGGCGGCAGACUUAAGAACCGAGUUCUGAAGCCAUCUGCUGGACGAAAGUCCUCGCGAGUUCGAACCUCGUAGUUGUCA
Molecule: transfer RNA, 100 nt
Organism: Sugiyamaella lignohabitans
Lineage: Eukaryota; Fungi; Ascomycota; Dipodascomycetes; Dipodascales; Trichomonascaceae
Rfam family: tRNA
About the family: Transfer RNA (tRNA) molecules are approximately 80 nucleotides in length. Their secondary structure includes four short double-helical elements and three loops (D, anti-codon, and T loops).
Source: Rfam